UACGUAGGGGGCAAGCGUUUGUCCGGAUUUAUUGGGCGUAAAGAGCGUGUAGGCGGCUUGGUAGGUCCGCUGUGAAAACUCGAGGCUCAACCUCGAGAUGUCGGCGGAAACCACUUGGCUAGAGUCCGGAAGAGGAGAGUGGAAUUCCUGGUGUAGCGGUGAAAUGCGCAGAUAUCAGGAAGAACACCUAUGGCGAAGGCAGCUCUCUGGGACGGUACUGACGCUGAGACGCGAAAGCGUGGGGAGCGAACAGG
Molecule: ribosomal RNA, 254 nt
Filed under: uncultured bacterium
Lineage: Bacteria
Description: partial 16S ribosomal RNA
Rfam family: Bacterial small subunit ribosomal RNA
Source: RNAcentral